This 491-nucleotide ribosomal RNA is filed under the name uncultured bacterium. RNAcentral's name for it is "partial 16S ribosomal RNA". It matches the Rfam family "Bacterial small subunit ribosomal RNA", at positions 29 to 506 of the family's 1533-position model. The record is from RNAcentral.
AGUGAACGCUGGCGGUAGGCCUAACACAUGCAAGUCGAACGGCAGCACAGUAAGAGCUUGCUCUUACGGGUGGCGAGUGGCGGACGGGUGAGGAAUACAUCGGAAUCUACUUUUUCGUGGGGGAUAACGUAGGGAAACUUACGCUAAUACCGCAUACGACCUACGGGUGAAAGCAGGGGAUCUUCGGACCUUGCGCGAUUGAAUGAGCCGAUGUCGGAUUAGCUAGUUGGCGGGGUAAAGGCCCACCAAGGCGACGAUCCGUAGCUGGUCUGAGAGGAUGAUCGGCCACACUGGAACUGAGACACGGUCCAGACUCCUAGGGGGGGCAGCGGUGGGGAAUAUUGGACAAUGGGCGAAAGCCUGAGCCAGCCAUACCGCGUGGGUGAAGAAGGCCUUCGGGUGGUAAAGCCCUUUUGUUGGGAAAGAAAAGCAGCAGGUUAAUACCCCGCUGUUCUGACGGUACCCAAAGAAUAAGCACCGGCUAACUUCGU